ACACGUAGUCAACCUAACUCGUGGACGUGGAUAACCUCGGGAAACUGAGAAUAAACCACGAUAGAUCAUAGUGCCUGGAAUGGCUUAUGGUCCAAACAGUUUACUGCCAUGGGAUGGGACUGCGGCCUAUCAGCUUGUUGGUGAGGUAAUGGCCCACCAAGGCGAUUACAGGUACGGGCUCUGAGAGGAGAAGCCCGGAGAUGGGUACUGAGACACGGACCCAGGCCCUAUGGGGCGCAGCAGGCGAGAAACCUUAGCAAUGUGCGAAAGCACGACUGGGUCAGUCCGAGUGAUUCCUGAUAAAGGAGUCUUUUGCUUGUCCUAAAAGCACAGGUGAAUAAGGGGUGGGCAAGUCUGGUGUCAGCCGCCGCGGUAAUACCAGCACCUCGAGUGGUCAGGACGUUUAUUGGGCCUAAAGCAUCCGUAGCCGGCUCUGCAAGUCUUCGGUUAAAUCCACCUGCUCAACAGAUGGGCUGCUGGAGAUACUACAGAGCUAGGGAGUGGGAGAGGCAGACGGUAUUCAGUGGGUAGGGGUAAAAUCCUCUGAUCCAUUGAGGACCACCAGUGGCGAAGGCGGUCUGCCAGAACACGUUCGACGGUGAGGGAUGAAAGCUGGGGGAGCAAACCGGAUUAGAUA
Molecule: ribosomal RNA, 637 nt
Filed under: uncultured archaeon
Lineage: Archaea
Description: bacterial SSU rRNA
Rfam family: Archaeal small subunit ribosomal RNA
Source: RNAcentral